UGAUUUACUUUGACUGACAGAAAUGAACUAUUCAAAUUAAACUAAAAUGGACAGGGACAAAAUCAUUUCCAAUUGGUCUCUGCUUCAUUUCUUGAAUACUUAUGAGCUUGCAAAGAUGUGAUUCGGCCUGAGCUGAGCCAACAUGCCUCGUAUUCUGUUUUUGGGGGCUAGCUUGAAUAUUCUCAGCAUGGCCAACUAUCCACAACGUGCUCUAGUUUUAGGUCCAGGUGUACUGGCAGCCUUGAUUGCACUAGUAACUGGAUUGGAUAUAAAUUAUGGUUUGUGUUAUGUUAGUAGCCUUGAGGCGGCCCUACUGCAGAGUCCUUGUUGAGGUAAGUGGACUCAGGAUGUGUUUGGCUCAGAAGCAGAAUGAAUUCGAAUAGAAAUC
RNAcentral lists this long non-coding RNA (388 nucleotides) under Phoenix dactylifera (date palm). RNAcentral describes it as "long non-coding RNA (PDAC_LNC013302)". Lineage: Eukaryota; Viridiplantae; Streptophyta; Magnoliopsida; Arecales; Arecaceae. The record is from RNAcentral.